RNAcentral lists this long non-coding RNA (249 nucleotides) under Ananas comosus (pineapple). RNAcentral's name for it is "long non-coding RNA (ACOM_LNC039698)". The record is from RNAcentral. Lineage: Eukaryota; Viridiplantae; Streptophyta; Magnoliopsida; Poales; Bromeliaceae.
ACAAAAUGAUACAAUAAAUUCUUAGAUCUUGCAUGAUGUGUGGGAUUUUUACUUCAUAUGUAUCUAGAAUUUUCAUUGAUUUUCGGGUCAACAAUUUUUGACAACUUGAAUAUCCUUGAAAUUGAUUUUUCAAAAUGUAUUUAUGAAAUGUUAGUUGAAGUUUUUGGAUGGAAAUUGGUUAUUUUUGUUGAUUAAACAUUGAGGAAUAAUAUAUAUUUUUUCUAAAAUUUUUUGAGCUUAUUUUAAAUU